GAUGAACGCUGGCGGCGUGCCUAAUACAUGCAAGUCGAGCGAACAGACGAGGAGCUUGCUCCUCUGACGUUAGCGGCGGACGGGUGAGUAACACGUGGAUAACCUACCUAUAAGACUGGGAUAACUUCGGGAAACCGGAGCUAAUACCGGAUAACAUGUUGAACCGCAUGGUUUAACAGUGAAAGACGGUCUUGCUGUCACUUAUAGAUGGAUCCGCGCCGCAUUAGCUAGUUGGUAAGGUAACGGCUUACCAAGGCAACGAUGCGUAGCCGACCUGAGAGGGUGAUCGGCCACAUUGGAACUGAGACACGGUCCAGACUCCUACGGGAGGCAGCAGUAGGGAAUCUUCCGCAAUGGGCGAAAGCCUGACGGAGCAACGCCGCGUGAGUGAAGAAGGUCUUCGGAUCGUAAAACUCUGUUAUUAGGGAAGAACAAAUGUGUAAGUAACUAUGCACGUCUUGACGGUACCUAAUCAGAAAGCCACGGCUAACUACGUG
RNAcentral lists this ribosomal RNA (497 nucleotides) under uncultured bacterium. Its description in RNAcentral is "partial 16S ribosomal RNA". It matches the Rfam family "Bacterial small subunit ribosomal RNA", at positions 28 to 507 of the family's 1533-position model. The record is from RNAcentral.